CCUGGCGGAAACAGCAGUGUGGUCCCACCCGUUCCCAUCCCGAACACGGAAGUGAAACGCACCCGCGCCGAUGGUAGUGUGGCUUAAGCCAUGUGAGAGUAGGUCACUGCCAGGG
This 115-nucleotide ribosomal RNA is filed under the name Pseudomonadota bacterium. RNAcentral also lists the same sequence under 1 other name. Lineage: Bacteria; Pseudomonadati; Pseudomonadota. The record is from RNAcentral.